ACACGUUUUUCACAGAGUGUUGUUUAAAUUACCAUUGAGAGGUCAUGGUAAAUUUCAAGGUGAUCAUUGCUGGGACUUUGCUUAUAUUCAGGUUUCCAGUUAAGAAAUGAUACUGUCCCAACCAAUGCUAAUCUCAUCAUGUCUGGACAGCAACCUGAAAAAGACAUCACUGUGCACCUAGCAUUGAUGGUAAUGGCAGACAUUGCUGGUAUGUUUCCGGGUAAGUGAGGCUGUGGCCCUAAAUCACAGCACAGGCCAUCUGAUCUCCAGAUAGUUAGGUAAGUGUUGACGGUGUCCCUAAGAGUUGUUACCAUGAUUUCUUUGCAGGUGUUCAGGUAGGAAUUGAUAGUCCUUACUAAUUAUAGAAACCAUGAGUUUUACUUUUUACAUUUUAGGAAAGAUUUUUGUUUAACCUUGUGAGUAAUGAGGGAUUGCCAUAUCGAGGUAAUUAACAUUGUAUCCUCAACCGCAGCAAUAACCAACGAUUUUGGAGGUGUCCCAUGGAGAAAUAUUGUCUUAUCUGGUGAUGAUUUUGACCUUGGAGUACUACAAGUGUUUAGGUAUAGUUGAUAUGUCUCAGAAUGAUAAACUGACCAAGGUUAUUUACAGGUGUCCUGGUAGAACAAGUUGUGUCCCUUUACACGUAGAUCAUGUGUUUUUCAGGUUCCUGUCGGAAGACUUCAAUGAAUCUGAUGAUGGUCGGUAAAGGGGGUAUGUUUCUGGUAUCCGGAUAUCUGAUGAGGUGUACUUUCACUACAUCAGACCCUCUGAUCUUCAUGAGUCUUUUGCCAUUAAAUUUUGUUGAUUACUUGAAUUUGUUUUACCAUGCAGGUUUUUUUUUAAGGCAUUCAGGCAGAAAUGAUAGCGUUUUUACCAAUUCUAGCAAACCUAUUAUCUAAGUUUUUUGUGUUUUAGAGGAAAUUUACAUAAAACCAUGUGAA
Lontra canadensis (Northern American river otter) is the source of this 941-nucleotide long non-coding RNA. RefSeq lists it as uncharacterized. The transcript has 3 exons. The record is from RefSeq and is a predicted model, not a curated record. NCBI's taxonomy places the organism in Eukaryota, Metazoa, Chordata, Mammalia, Carnivora, Mustelidae.